AUUCUGGGUGCAUUUAUGACGAGUUGGUCAUAUCAGAUGGAUCAACUUCUAAUUCUACGUGUGGAAAGUCAAUUGUGAAUAGCCCUCCAAUUUUCUUUACUAAAGAAAAUAUUAAUGUCAGUUUUCGUUCCGCUCCCUGGAGUAAUAGUUUAUCCGGUUUUCUACUGACAUACAAAAUUAUUGAUGGAGUGGAUAUUCAUUGUACAUUUGAAAACAACUGGUGCAAUUUUACAAAGAUUGGGGAUUGGAAGCGAGUCAUGGGAUCAAACUUGGGCAACUGGUCGAUAGAGGAUCAUACAAUUGGCAACAGUUAUGGUCAUUUUGUGAUCUUGGAAACAUCUAUCUUUG
Xenia sp. Carnegie-2017 is the source of this 348-nucleotide long non-coding RNA. RefSeq lists it as uncharacterized. The record is from RefSeq and is a predicted model, not a curated record. Lineage: Eukaryota; Metazoa; Cnidaria; Anthozoa; Malacalcyonacea; Xeniidae. The transcript is spliced from 3 exons.